This 527-nucleotide ribosomal RNA is filed under the name uncultured soil bacterium. Its description in RNAcentral is "bacterial SSU rRNA". It matches the Rfam family "Bacterial small subunit ribosomal RNA", at positions 352 to 897 of the family's 1533-position model. The record is from RNAcentral.
CAGUGGGGAAUCUUGCACAAUGGGGGAAACCCUGAUGCAGCGACGCCGCGUGAGUGAUGAAGCCCUUCGGGGUGUAAAGCUCUUUCGGCAGGGACGAUAAUGACGGUACCUGCAGAAGAAGCUGCGGCUAACUACGUGCCAGCAGCCGCGGUAAUACGUAGGCAGCAAGCGUUGUUCGGAAUUACUGGGCGUAAAGAGUGCGUAGGCGGUUUGGCAAGUUUGGUGUGAAAUCUCCCGGCUUAACUGGGAGGGUGCGCCGAAAACUGCCAGGCUAGAGUGUGGGAGAGGAAAGUGGAAUUCCUGGUGUAGCGGUGAAAUGCGUAGAUAUCAGGAGGAACACCUGCGGUGUAGACGGCUUUCUGGACCACUACUGACGCUGAGGCACGGAAGCGUGGGGAGCAAACAGGAUUAGAUACCCUGGUAGUCCACGCCCUAAACGAUGCAGACUUGGUGUUGGCCCUUCAUUGGGUCAGUGCCGCAGCUAACGCGGUAAGUCUGCCGCCUGGGGAGUACGGUCGCAAGGCUGA